RNAcentral lists this ribosomal RNA (453 nucleotides) under uncultured Bacteroidales bacterium. RNAcentral's name for it is "bacterial SSU rRNA". It matches the Rfam family "Bacterial small subunit ribosomal RNA", at positions 917 to 1370 of the family's 1533-position model. The record is from RNAcentral. Lineage: Bacteria; Pseudomonadati; Bacteroidota; Bacteroidia; Bacteroidales.
GGGCCCGCACAAGCGGAGGAACAUGUGGUUUAAUUCGAUGAUACGCGAGGAACCUUACCCGGGUUUGAACGCAUUCGGACAGGGGCGGAAACGUCCUCUUCAGCAAUGACCGUUUGCGAGGUGCUGCAUGGUUGUCGUCAGCUCGUGCCGUGAGGUGUCGGCUUAAGUGCCAUAACGAGCGCAACCCCUAUUGCCAGUUGCCAUCGAGUAAAGUCGGGGACUUUGGCAAGACUGCCGGCGUAAGCUGCGAGGAAGGCGGGGAUGACGUCAAAUCAGCACGGCCCUUACAUCCGGGGCGACACACGUGUUACAAUGGCAGGGACAAAGGGCAGCCACCCGGCGACGGGGCGCUAAUCCCAAAACCCUGUCUCAGUUCGGAUCGGAGUCUGCAACUCGACUCCGUGAAGCCGGAUUCGCUAGUAAUCGCGCAUCAGCCAUGGCGCGGUGAAUACG